Long non-coding RNA from Cloeon dipterum, 1224 nucleotides. RefSeq lists it as uncharacterized. The transcript is spliced from 2 exons. The record is from RefSeq and is a predicted model, not a curated record. Lineage: Eukaryota; Metazoa; Arthropoda; Insecta; Ephemeroptera; Baetidae.
GAGCAAAGUUUGUUCAAAUAAUAUUUUGACAUUAAAAGAACAUUCCUUUUGUGUGGAAGUAAUGUUGUGUUCAUUUAAUAUCAGGUUAAAACAUUAUCUCUAUGUUCUAUGUUCGAUGAAUAUUCAUUUAUAUUCUAGGAACAUGAACAUAAAUAGAAUGUAGCUGAAUAUUCCGUUAAGAUAUUAAAUCAACUAAAAAAUUAAAAAAUGGUUUUAUGUUCUUUGAAUGUUCAGGGAACAUUCAUAGAACAUUAAUUACGCGCAUGCGUUAAUUUAAAAACUGGUCUCAAAACAUGCGCCAUUUUAAUUAUUGCUCAAAAACAAAAACAAAGCCGAUUAGGCUGCUGCUGCGAAUUUGCAGCACUCAAUCAGCUUCGCGCGCGUCCCCUGCGUGUCGCUCUUGCCGACUUAAUUGAAAUAUCGCCGAAUUCACGAGGUCUUUUGCAAGAUUAAAGUGUGAAAUUGUCUCAACAUCGUUGAUUAAGUUCGUUGGAAAUAUAAUAUAAUUCCGGCGUGUCAUGAUGUGAUCCAGAGUGAUCCUCUCCCGUCCCUAAUUCACGCGCGUGGCCCACGUACAUACACACAUAUCAGGUGAUGGCAAAAAGGGAUCCAAUCCGCAGGCAAUGGACAGCGUGCCAAGAUUAUUACACAAGCUGCGCGCCUUUGGACUCUGGAAAGUUGGGAAGCAAUGCAGUUGCCUCUGAUGUAUUUCAUCUCCAGUGGAUUCAUUGUGCAACCGCAUUUUAUUAAAAAUAAAUAUACUGCUCGAUGCAUCAGUUGGGUAAGCCCUUAGUGUUCGGAGCAAUCAACAGAUGGCGCCACAACCUACUUAUACUAUACUUCCGAUCUUAUAAUUAAGGAACUGUCACUGCGAUUUCAAACUCGAUCCUGCUGCUGUGCAUUCUUCACUUAAUAUAUGUCCUCUUUUGACGUGGUAAAAUUCAAAAUCGGUUAAGCCAAUCGCCGUAGAAUCAUGAAAAAUCUUUGAAAUAAAUUAAAAUCUUUUCUAACGUUUCUACGGUGAAAUGGCUUGACUAAUUUUUGUUUUUAGCAGUCUAAAUGAGAAAUUCAAGACGCAGAUUGCACAAGCUGGAUUGCGUCUGAAAUCGCAGUGGAAGUGCCUUAAAAUCGAAAAUAUAGAUAAGUAUAUGGUGGCGCCAUCUGUUGGCGGCUUGAACACUAAGGGUUUACUUAACUCGUGUAUUGAAACCGUUAUAGAAAUAA